Molecule: long non-coding RNA, 302 nt
Filed under: Mus musculus (house mouse)
Lineage: Eukaryota; Metazoa; Chordata; Mammalia; Rodentia; Muridae
Description: predicted gene, 36199
Source: RNAcentral
GGCUAAGGGCCGGCAUCGGAUUCCCAAGACAAGAUAAUUAACUUCUUGCUCAAUCCCUCAGCAUUUGACCAAAAUACCAAGAUAAAAAUGUAGGCCCGUGUUAGUACAAAAGGUCCUGCAUUCAACUGUCCUCCUUAUAUUGCCCAAGAAGUCUUGUGGAAUUCCAAGAAGAAUUCAAGGGGCCAGACCUGGAAUAUGCAUCAAUGAGAAUAAGACACUGACGAAGCUAACGACACUAACGGGGAAUGAGGAUAAUCGACUCCUGUCCUUUGUUUUACUCUUUAACCUAGUAAUAAAUCCCU